GUUUGGUGAAAGUUAGUUGUGCAAAAAAUUUUCUCCUGUAAAAGCUAGAACAAGGGCAAUGGUUCUCAUCACAAACUCCAUCGCCUACGAUUUGCUGGCGUUCUUCGUGACACUCACAGUUAUCGUCUACGCCUACUUCAAAUGGAGUUACCAGUAUUGGAAGAGGAAGAAUAUUCCACAUUUCGAGCCCAAGAUACCGUUCGGAAACUUUCCCAAUCCGCUGACAAGCAAACUGAGCAUAGGAGAGAACAUUGCUCUGUUGUACAGAGAAGCAAAAGCAAGAGGUUGGAAGGCCUGUGGACUCUAUACAAUGGCGGUUCCAGUGUACAUGGUGCUUGACUUGGAUUUGGUGAAACGUAUAAUGACAAAAGAUUUCAACAAUUUUAUGGACAGAGGGGUCUAUUUUAACGAAAAGGCCGAUCCAAUAAGUGCGCAUCUAUUUGCCAUAACCGGAAUGAAAUGGAAGAACUUGAGGGCCAAACUGACGCCGACAUUCACAUCCGGGAAGAUGAAGAUGAUGUUCCAGACAAUGGCGGACUCUGGUGUGAUCCUAGAAAAGUAUAUCAAGGAUGAAGUUGCAGGCAAGCAAGUCGUGGAUAUUAAGGAUGUUUUAGGUCGUUUUUCUACGGACAUCAUCGGCUCGUGCGCGUUUGGUCUGGAAUGCAACAGCUUCGAACAACCCAAUUCUCCUUUCAGGGUCUAUGGGAAGAAGAUCUUGGAGAGCUCCACAUUGGAGUUGAUGAAAGAGGCCUUCUGCAUCAGCUUCCCCAAAGCCGCUAGGGCCCUUUCUCUCCGCGUGUUCAAGAAAGAAGCCUGCGAAUUCUACACAUCGGUCGUGCACGACACCAUCUCGUACAGGGAGAAGAACAACCUCAGGCGCAACGACUUUAUGCAGCUGCUCAUGGAGAUGAGGAACAAAGAUGACAAUACUACAGAAGACAGUAACACCCUGACCAUGCCAGAGAUAAUAGCGCAAAGCUUCGUCUUUUUCGUAGCUGGAUUCGAGACCAGCUCCACCACCAUGACCUUCGCCCUGUUUGAAUUGGCGAGGAACCCCGACAUCCAGGACAAAGUAAGGGAAGAAAUCCGCACAGUCCUCGCGAAACACGACAACAAAAUCACUUACGAUUCGAUCAAUGAGUUAGUUUACAUGAGACAAGUCAUCGACGAGACCCUCAGGAUGUACGCUCCCAUCCCACUUUUGACAAGAGAAAGUGCCGAAGACUACAAAAUACCUGGUCAAGAUUUUAUCUUAGAAAAAGGCACCAUCGUCUUCAUACCUGCAACAGGUAUACACUACGACGAAGACCACUACGAGAAUCCCAAAGUUUUUGACCCCGACAGGUUCAGUGCGGAGAACAAGAAGGCCAGGCAUCCCUACGCCCAUCUGCCGUUUGGGGAAGGUCCCAGAGUAUGUAUUGGUGAAAGAUUUGGAAUUCUACAAACAAAAGUCGGACUGACAUCCACUUUGAAGGACUUUAAAGUUACCCUAAGCGAGAAAACCAAACUGCCUUUAAAAAUGAAUCCGCAUGAAAAGGUUACCUCGACGAUUGGUGGUAUUUGGUUGAAGUUCGAAAAAGUUUAAACAGAUAUAAAUUGACCAAACUCAUCUUGUCUGCCAGUUGCGUAAGAUCAAGAAUAGAAUCUGGAGGACGAGUGACUUAACAAUAGGGCAGGUUUCUUUACGUUGGUCCGAUAAAUAUAGUUACUCAAUGAAGGUUUUGUAUUAUAUGUAUACUCAAAUAUAUGAGCAAAUGUCAUCUGCAACUGGUGGACAAGAUGAAUUUAAUCAAGCUGUAUUAUUUCUGUCACAUUAAUAUAUUGUAUAUAUAUUUCUUACAAAAUAGAUACAUAAAUAAAAUGA
RNA transcript from Anoplophora glabripennis (Asian longhorned beetle), 1864 nucleotides. It is a transcript of the gene named probable cytochrome P450 6a13, with no coding region annotated. The record is from RefSeq and is a predicted model, not a curated record. NCBI's taxonomy places the organism in Eukaryota, Metazoa, Arthropoda, Insecta, Coleoptera, Cerambycidae. The transcript has 9 exons.